Small nuclear RNA from Colobus angolensis palliatus, 108 nucleotides. NCBI's taxonomy places the organism in Eukaryota, Metazoa, Chordata, Mammalia, Primates, Cercopithecidae. The record is from Ensembl.
GUGCUUGCCUCAGCAGCACAUAUACUAAAAUUGGAAAAAAAACAGAGUAGAUUAGCAUGGCCCCUGUGCAAGGAUGACAUGCAAAUUCAUGAAGCAUUCUAUAAUUUU